GAUGAACGCUGGCGGCGUGCCUAAUACAUGCAAGUCGAGCGAACAGACGAGGAGCUUGCUCCUCUGACGUUAGCGGCGGACGGGUGAGUAACACGUGUAUAACCUACCUAUAAGACUGGGAUAACUUCGGGAAACCGGAGCUAAUACCGUAUAAUAUAUUGAACCGCAUGGUUCAAUAGUGAAAGACGGUUUUGCUGUCACUUAUAGAUGGAUCCGCGCCGCAUUAGCUAGUUGUUAAGGUAACGGCUUACCAAGGCAACGAUGCGUAGCCGACCUGAGAGGGUGAUCGGCCACACUGGAACUGAGACACGGUCCAGACUCCUACGGGAGGCAGCAGUAGGGAAUCUUCCGCAAUGGGCGAAAGCUUGACGGAGCAACGCCGAGUGAGUGAUGAAGGUCUUCGGAUCGUAAAACUCUGUUAUUAGGGAAGAACAAAUGUGUAAGUAACUAUGCACGUCUUGACGGUAACUAAUCAGAAAGCCACGGCUAACUACGUG
RNAcentral lists this ribosomal RNA (497 nucleotides) under uncultured bacterium. RNAcentral describes it as "partial 16S ribosomal RNA". It matches the Rfam family "Bacterial small subunit ribosomal RNA", at positions 28 to 507 of the family's 1533-position model. The record is from RNAcentral.